This 374-nucleotide ribosomal RNA is filed under the name Diploptera cf. punctata DpP14_SB3. RNAcentral describes it as "partial 16S ribosomal RNA". The record is from RNAcentral. Lineage: Eukaryota; Metazoa; Arthropoda; Insecta; Blattodea; Blaberidae.
CGCUUCAUGUUAAAUUAUGAAGUAUUGCCUGCCCUAUGAUUUAAUUAAAUGGCCGCGGUAUAUUGACCGUGCAAAGGUAGCAUAAUCAUUAGUCUUUUAAUUGGAGGCUGGAAUGAAAGGGCGGACGAAAUAAAUACUGUCUUAUUUUAAAAUAGUUGAAUUUAAUUAUUUAGUAAAAAAGCUUAAAUGAUUUUAUGGGACGAUAAGACCCUAUAGAGUUUUAUAAUUAUAUGGAUUUUUUUUAGUUAGGAAUAAAUCUAAAUCUUAAAAAUUAUUUUGUUGGGGCGAUAGAAAGAUAAAAGUAACUCUUUUUUUUUAUGUACACAAAUUUGUGGGAGAUUGACCCAUAGGGUUGAUUAAAAGACUAAAUUACC